CACAGCCUGGCUUGUUGAGUGCUCCCAGGUCCCUGCUUGGGAUCUGAACCCCUUUUACCCUGGACUACCAAAGCAGAGCAUGCAAACUUAUCCACUACAGCACCUGGCUGACCCCUGGCCUAUCUUUUAAUUGGGUGUGGAUUUUCUUCUUGAGUGUCAUGAUUUCUUUACGUUUUUUGGAUCCCAGUCCUUUUUUGCCUUUCUUCACUACAUAAUAUCACAAUGUAUCUUACAAGUUAAAUGUAUGAUAAUGUAUGGCAUAGAAAUGGUAGUGAAAAACUAAACCUGGGUCAAGAACAUGAGUUUUUCCAAAACUAGGUGCCAAAGGAAGAUGUUUUGCCUGCAAGCCCAAGGAGGCGAUGGGGAGGGUGACAGGUAUGGCAUGUUUUCUUUUUUUUUUUGCAAAUAUUUUCUCCCAGUCUUUCUCUCUGGCUUGUCUUUUUCUUCUCUUUUUAUUUUAUUCUCCUAAGAGUGUCUUUAGCAGAACAAAUUUUAAAUUUCAAUGAAGUCCAAUUUACCAAUUUUUUUUUUACAUAGAUUAUCCUUUGGUGUUAUACCUAAAAUCUCACUGCCAAAGCCAAGGUCAUAUAGAUGUUUUUCCUGUGUUUUUACAAGGUGUUUGUACUUUUGCAUUUCACAUUAGGUCUAUGACCCAUUUUGAGUCAAUUUUUGUGAAAGCUGUAAGGUCUGUGUCAAGAUUCCUUUUUCUUUCUUUUGUUUUUUUUUGGUAUGGUCAUCCAGUUGUUCCAGCACCAUUUGUUGAAAAGGCUGUUCUUUCCCUACUGUAUUGCCUUUGCGUUCUUUGUCAAAAAUCAGUUGCCUGUAUUUGCGUGAGUCUAUUUCUGGACUCUCUGUUGUUUUCCGUUCCUCUAUGUAUUUACUCUUCUGUCAGUACCAUGCUGUAUUGAUUAUUAUAGCUUUCUAGUAAGUCUUGAACUAGGGUACUGCGAGUUCUCCAACUUUAUUCUGUUCCAUCAAUAUUGUGUUGGCUGUUCUGGGUCUUUUUCUCUCCACACAAACUUUAGAAUCAGUUUGUGGAUUUCCACAAAAUGGCUUACUGUGAUUUUGGUUGGGAUUGUGUUGAAGCUAUAGAUCAAGUUGGAAAGAAUUGAUGUCUUAACAAUGUGAAAUCUUCCAACCCAUGAACAUGGGACAUGUCUGUCCAUUUAUUUAGAACUUUUAUUUCUUUUAUCAGAGUUUCAUAGUUUUCAUCAUCUAAAUCUUACACGUAUUUUGUUAGACUUAUACUUAAAUAUUUCUCUUUUUUUUUGUGCAAGUAUGAAUGUUACUGUGUUUUUAAUGUCAAAUUCCAAUUGUUUAUUGCCGGUUUAUUGGAAAACAAUAGAUUUUUAUAGGUUAACCUUGUAUCCUGCAAUUUUCUUAUAAAUGCUAAUUAAUUUCAUUCCUUUUUUUUGUGGAUUCUCUGGGAUUUUCUGUAUAGAAAGUCAUGUCAUCUGCAAAUAAAGACGGUCUUGUUUUUUCGGUCCCCAUCUUAUAUCUUUUUUUCCUUUUGUUGUUUAUUGCAUCAACAAGGACUUCCAGUACUGUGUUGAGUAUGAGCGGUGAGAGGGGCAUCCUCGCCUGCUUCCUGAUCUCGGGGGAAAGCUUGUGUUGAUUGAUGGAUUACAUGAAUUGAUUUUGGACCACUGAACCAGCCCUGCGUUCCUGGAAUAAGCCCACUACGUCAUGGUAUAUAACUCCUUUUUUACAUUGUUGGAUUCAAUUUGCUAAUGCUUCUUAAGGAUUUUUGCAUCUAUCUUCAUGAGAGAUAUUUGUUUUUAGUUUUCCUUUCUUGUACCCUGUCUGGCUUUGGUAUUAUGUCUGGCUGCCCUCAUAGAAUGAAUUAGGAGAUAUUCCCCGGCAUCGACCUUGUAGAAGAGAUUGUAGAGAAUAGGUAUACUUUCCUCCUUAAAUUUUUGGUAGAAUUCACUGAUAAACACACCUAGGCCUGGUACUUUCUGUUUUGGAAGGUUAUUAAUUAUUGAUGCAAUUUGUUUAAUAGAUGUAAGCCUAUUCAGAUUAUCUGUUUCUCCUUGUGUGAACUUUCAUAGUACACUUGACUUUUAAUGAAUUUGUCCAUUUUACCCCCAUUAUCCACUUUGUGGGAAUAGAGUCAUUCAUAUUAUCCCUUUAUUAACAUUUUACUCUUCAUAGGAUUAGUAGUUAUAUCUCUCUUUUAUAGAUGAUAUUGGUAUUUUGUGUCUUCUCUUUUUUUAUUUCUCACUUAAUUGGGCUAGGAUAGUCAGUGUUAUUGAUCUUUCCCAAA
Equus caballus (horse) is the source of this 2266-nucleotide non-coding RNA. Lineage: Eukaryota; Metazoa; Chordata; Mammalia; Perissodactyla; Equidae. The record is from RefSeq and is a predicted model, not a curated record.